RNAcentral lists this long non-coding RNA (883 nucleotides) under Homo sapiens (human). RNAcentral's name for it is "non-protein coding lnc-SLC15A4-22:1". Lineage: Eukaryota; Metazoa; Chordata; Mammalia; Primates; Hominidae. The record is from RNAcentral.
CAGGAUAGUGGAAUUCAGACUGAGUUUGGACCUCUUCCCUCUACGAAUAAAGUCAUCUCUGUUGGUAUAACUUGAGAACAGUUUUUGUGUUGACAUUUGCUAAUAUAACAUUGGCUAAAAACACACACACAUGCUCAAAAUGGGAAGAGAUUAAUUCUGCUCCAAGGGGAAGGGUGGUAAGUAUUGGCUGAGCAACACUCCAGUCCCUCACGGGAUAGCACCCACCCACCUAUGUCUGUGGUACAGCAGUGAUCAGGAAGGAAGGGUCUCUGUUCACCAGGAGCUCACCUUGGGGCUGCUACAGAUGCAGUAGUGACAGGAGGCCUCUUCUGCACUGGGGGCAAGUUUCUUGAGUGAUACAAGUGACUCUCAGUGGAGAGGAGAGCUGGAAAGGGGUUGGGAUGGGCAUGUAAUCUUCCCCCAAAGCCUGGCCAUCUCUGGCUGGUUCUUCUCAGAAGUCAAGUCAUCAAGCUGUCUCUCCUCCAAAGUCCAGCCAUCCCUCUGAUUCUAGGUGGCAAAUGAAGAGAAUCCGGUCUCAUACACUUACACUUAUCUGUUUCUGUUAUGGAAAUUAAGAGCAUUAGACAACUAACAGCAGACCAAUGCAUAUAAACCAGAGUUGUUGCCAGGAAAAAUAUAGUUAGAAGACUAUUAACAUUUUUUCUCCUUUUUUUUCCCUCCAGUAUUAUGGAAUAAAUAAGUUAAAAGAGCCUUAUCCUUCAAAGUAAUUAAAAUUCAGAAUUACCUUUUUUGUUUCAGAAGUGUCUGAUUUGAUUACUUUUUUAAUGUACGUAAGUCUCUGAAUAUUUAGAAUCUUGACUCCCACUUUCCCUCCUUUUCAUUCUCACCCUCCCCCAUCCCAUUCACUCUACUGCUAACCUUG